RNAcentral lists this long non-coding RNA (531 nucleotides) under Gallus gallus (chicken). RNAcentral describes it as "lncRNA (ENSGALG00010012611.1)". Lineage: Eukaryota; Metazoa; Chordata; Aves; Galliformes; Phasianidae. The record is from RNAcentral.
UGGAGGUCUUGGCAAGAAGAUGAGAAGACAGGACAAGCAGUCUCAGAUCUGGGCACUAAUAUCCCUUUGACAUUGCGAUAUGCUCAUAUAGAUGCAGUCAUAACAACAGAGAAUUUGCUUCUCAGUAGUUGACAGUGCUGGACAGUGCUCAAGGGAGUGGGCCUACAAAAGAAGUCCGCACCAGGGGCACAGCUGACUUCUGCAGAAGGAAUGCCAUGGUGGGUGAGACCAAAGGUCCCCUGCACUUGGCAUCUCAGCAAUGGGUGCUUAGGAAAGGACUAUCAGCAACAAGAUGGAGAUUUCCCAGGCACAGGAGCAAUACUUCAUGUCUCAUGAAUAUAAUGUUCCCUCAAAAAAACAAAACAAAAAUAAAAACAACAACAAAAAUAGAGGCUACAUACAGACAAUAGACAAUAUGUAAACAGGCAAAAUAAAUUUUUUAAUUGCUUUGUCUCUCUAAUUCCUGCCUAUGGUCUUACAUUUUUGAAGUUGUCAUUUCAUUUCCUAUCCCUUAUUUAUAUUGUUCAGUCC